CACUCCUGCGGGAGGCAGCAGUGGGGAAUUUUGGACAAUGGGCGAAAGCCUGAUCCAGCAAUGCCGCGUGAGUGAAGAAGGCCUUCGGGUUGUAAAGCUCUUUUGUCAGGGAAGAAACGGUGAGAGCUAAUAUCUUUUGCUAAUGACGGUACCUGAAGAAUAAGCACCGGCUAACUACGUGCCAGCAGCCGCGGUAAUACGUAGGGUGCAAGCGUUAAUCGGAAUUACUGGGCGUAAAGCGUGCGCAGGCGGUUUUGUAAGUCUGAUGUGAAAUCCCCGGGCUCAACCUGGGAAUUGCAUUGGAGACCGCAAGGCUAGAAUCUGGCAGAGGGGGGUAGAAUUCCACGUGUAGCAGUGAAAUGCGUAGAUAUGUGGAGGAACACCGAUGGCGAAGGCAGCCCCCUGGGUCAAGAUUGACGCUCAUGCACGAAAGCGUGGGGAGCAAACAGGAUUAGAAACCCCGGUAGUCCCA
Molecule: ribosomal RNA, 472 nt
Filed under: uncultured organism
Description: partial 16S ribosomal RNA
Rfam family: Bacterial small subunit ribosomal RNA
Source: RNAcentral